Molecule: long non-coding RNA, 4645 nt
Organism: Capsicum annuum
Lineage: Eukaryota; Viridiplantae; Streptophyta; Magnoliopsida; Solanales; Solanaceae
Exons: 2
Source: RefSeq, a predicted model, not a curated record
AAAAAAAAAAAAAGCUAUUGUAUCAAUUUGUAGUUUUUCCUUCUCUAUUUUUUCAUAAAAUCUGUCAAAAAUGUUAAAAAUAAAAUGUUCUCAAUUCACUCUCUCUCUCUACCAUUGCUGAGAAAACAAUUACAUUUGACCUCCUUUUUCUUUCUCUUCUCUUCCUUUUAUUUUUCUUUAAGUGAAAUAAAAUAGCCACCAGCCAACCAACACUGGCUACACGGUUGGUGAACCACCGGAACAACCCUAAACCACAAGUCACCUAAGGCAUCGGAGAACCAUCAACAAGCGUAGAUGCGACACCAGCAACAGCCAAUAACCACCGUGCCACUGGAGAAAACACAAACUUUACCUGCAAGGUUCUUAAAUAGCUUGUUUCUGAGGUACUAAAAAUGCAAACUAAAAGCCCCACUUGAUUUUCUUCUCAGACUUGUAAUUUUUAAAUUUUAAUUAGUUGAAUAAGAUGUAAAGGUUGAGUUUGUUCAAUUUUAUUUGAAAAAUUGUAGAUUUUCGGUGUAUGUUAUUCACAAAAUGCUUUUUCUAAGGUGCAAUAUUUAAGUGUUUUGUCCACUUUAGAUAACUAUUUUCUUUUCAUAUUUUCCGAGGAGUCUAGAGUGUUUUUUACAUCAAUGUAGGGAUUAUGAGACAUUGUAAAGAUUGUCUAUUUGAUUCCUGGCAAUAUGAAUGUUCAUGGUACUUGAUUUAAUCACCAAAGUUGGUGUUUUUUCCGUUUUGAGAUGAUUAAGUCAAGAGCAUUGAAAUUUCAUACUGUAAAGAACUUAGAUUUUAAUGGUAAAAAGAUUAAAAUGCAUUUGUCUGUCAAGUGCUUCAAUUGCAGCAUUUUACUUUUUAUGUACUUUUUGGUGAAAUUGGAAUCAUUGCGUGUCUGUAGUUUUUAUUCAUGGGGCUGUGUGAUCUCUAUGAUUUCGGCUAGACAGUUCUUACUUUAUCUUGUGGUUGCAGUAUUAUCUCGUGGCUAGUUGUGUUAGUUUAUUUUUCAUUUAGCUUUUGUGUUUGUGAUACUAUUAUCGGUUCUAAGCUGGGGUCUAUCAAAAAUAGCCUCUCUACUUCAUGUGAGGUAGUGGUAGGGUUUGCAUACACUCUUUCCUCCCCAGACCCUACUAUGUAGGAAUAAACUGGGUAUGUUGUUGUUGUUGUUCUCCCAUUACUGACAAACACCUACUACUCACUCUACAUUGCCGACAAAUACUAACUACGAGCUUGUGAAUAAUUAACUCUUAGUUUAUUCCUCAAAUAGUUGAGUGGUCGCUAAUUUUGCCCUAGCAUCAAUAAUAAUUAUACGCAAUUUGUAGAUGCACAAUAUGAGCUUGUGAGGGAUCCGAUGCUCAGCUUUGCCAAUUAUAUUCAUCUUUGUCAAUUGUAAAAGGUUUUCUUCUUAACUAUUCGGUCUUCUUCCUUGGGUUAUUGUAGAUCUCGAAUUUGAGGUAUGCUUUCUAUUCCAAAUAGACAACCCUGUAAACUUUGGAGCUCCAAUUUACUCAAUUUUUAAGUUGUGUUGGAUUCUCUAACUUGUUUAAUCCUUUCCAACAAAAUACAAAUUGUGAAAGAACAUUUAUGAAACAAAGAUGCUGAGAUAAGCCUUUGGGAUGGGCAAUCCUCUUAUUGAAUGUCACAAUACAUUUUAACUUUAUUUUCCAUGCUUUGGUAAAUAUAACAUAUCAACUUUCUAAUAUCAGUAAGGUAUAAAUAAUGUUUAUAUAUGUUAUUUUACACAUAUACCAAAAAUAUCUUUCUUUUUUUCUUGUUUUGCUAUAGUAGACUAGCACCUCUCUUAAACAAAUAGUUUUUUAUGUGGACAGAGCUCUACUCAGACUAUUUGUGCAACCUGCGUUUAUAAAUUUAUGUCACAGAUACCAAUGGUAAACUAAGAAUGAGAGAAAAUCAAGGGGAAGUCUAAGUAAUAUCAUUUGGUAAGUGUAAAGGUAAUGUCUAUUGGCUGGUUCAUCUUGGGAUCUUAUAGCAAGUAAAGUUUUUAUUUUUUGUUUGUAAGAAAGCAGAUCAAUCAUGAAUAUCAACUCGGGAUAAAGGGCUUUCAUGGGAGGUCUCAUUGAAUCUCAUGGCGGAAAGGAAGGGACAGAUAAUGAAAAAUAACCUGACUGAUUUACGAUCUUACAAUAAAGUGUUGAUGGUUUACUUUCCAGCGUCUGUAUAGUUGAAAAAUAGGUAUCAUAUAUCUGGCUCAGCUUUGCUCACAGCUAUGGAUCAAAGCUCUGUAGAUCCACCACUUGAUAUGGCUUCUUCACAUAAAGAUAAUAAAGACCAAGAUGGAAUAUCACAAGUAUAUGCGAAUAGAGAAAAAUUUGUAAAGAGUUCAAAUUAUUUCUCAUAUCCAAGUAGACAACAACACAUUUUCUCAAGUUGAUGAGAGAAUUACAAGAGGCCAUCCUACUGUUGAUAUACCAGAAAUUUUAAGGUGUUGGACGCAUGUCCUACAAUGUGUUCAUAAGUAGUCCCUUCAACUAGUAUGUUGAUUACUCUGACUCAAAAUUCUAUAAGUUCUAUCAAAACUCUCUUUUUUUUCUCCAUAAAUCUCAAGUUUAGCAUAUCACAGAUACAGUUUAUAUAAAUAUUUGGAAUGAUUCUUGUUAUGUGGAUUUAAGUGGUCUAGGUGAAGUAAUUCAUUAGUUAUGCAUGGAUAAUGCUGCUAGAGGGAUACCGUUGGAUGAUUAUUCCUUAGUGAGGUAACAAAUUUUAUUAAUUGUGGAUUGUGGAUUAACUUGUUGGCCAUCAUUGGUUUAGUUCCUUUAUCUUUUGGCCAUUCAGAUGAUAAAAUAGAAUCUAUUUAAUUUGGUUAUUCAGAUGGCUCAGGGCAAUUUAGUGUUAAUUCGAAGUCUCAUUUGUCAUGCAUUUUUGUUUUAACUUUUACUGCCACCUUAAAUUUAAAAUAAUGUCAUAAUUGUUAAGAAGGAAAGCUAUUUCAAUGAUAUGUAAAGUAUUAUACCCCCCAUAUAAAACUGAACUAUUUGUUCCUUUAGAAAGUUCGUUAUAUAUAGUGGAUUCGGGGUGUUAGUGUAUAAGUAUAUGACAUUCCAAUAGAAAUUUCUUAUUCUUAGCUUAAUAUUUUUGUUUUGGUUAAGUUAGUGACUAGUAGUUGUAAUUAAUUAAGAUGUUGGAGCAACAUGAAGAAGUUGAGUUGGGUGAAAUGGAGUUGGAAAUUAGUAGUAGUAAGGUUAAUCCUAUGAUAAGUUCACCUGAUUCAACUUGUUGGCAAAUUAAGCAGGCAUGGGAGCCUGAUAUGCUCUUUUUUGAUUGCGUUUUUUACUUCCUGCUUCUCAUAUGGAGGACUUUACUCUUUGGAGUCACUCUUGUAGUCCUACUACUACUACUACUUAUCAUCAUCAUGAUCAUCAAGAAUCUGGUUAGUAGCUUUCUUUUAACACUUUAAAUUUGAUCCAUAUAUAGUCUGUCAUUUCGGACCCUGCAUAUAGUAAAAGCUUUAGUAUAGUCUUUCAUUUUUGAACUUGGCUGUUUGUUGACAAUUUCUGGACAAGUGGAGUUACUAGUCCCUGUGGUCCAUGCUCUGAACUUUAUUAUGAUUUCCAUCCUGAGAGGGGCACUUCCAAUGUUGUAAGUAUGACAUGUUUAAAAUGCACUUUUUCCCUUUUAUUUUCAUUUCAUGUUCAGGUGAGGUGGUUACACAAUAUCCUUUCUUUUUGUUUUUCCUUCUGUUUUGCAUUUUUAUUUGCUACUAUUCAUUUUGUCUAACCUUGCGGUCUAAAUAUUAGGUUCUUAGAGAUGAUAUGAGAUUUAUAGAAUUCUACAACCUUGUUUUUAUGCAAUACAAUAAGAAGGAUGAUGGUUUUCUUGAGCUUUUAAAGCAAAAGAAUAUAGAUACUGCACUUGGUUUAAAGUGUGUGGCCAGGAUUUUGCAGAAGGUAAUCGUGAGACAACAACAUUUCUGAAUGACUAUAGAAUAAAUUAGGUAUCGGAUCUCUCUUUUCUUUUGCUACUGAAUUUUAUGGAAAAGAAAGCCUCCCAUAAUUUUGGAUUAAUGAUAAUUUUGCCUCAUAUACUAUUUUCAAGGUAUCAGAAUCUAGUCAAAAAAUUUUUGGUCUAAUACGUUUAUUUAUUCUUAUGUUGUGCUUCAUUUUAGGUUCACCAUACAGCUUCUCAUUUACUUCAAUCAACAUUGAAAAGAGUAAUAGGUCAGGAAACAUCCCAAGCAGGAUCAAUGGUUGCUUUUGAUCAUCUUAGAUUUGACUUCAACUUCUGUCGACCUGUUCUAGACAAGAAACUCACAGAAAUUGAAGGUUUGAUCAACCAAUGGAUCGGUGAUGUCAUAAUUCUAGAAAUAAAAGUCAUGUCUUUGACUGAUGCAAAAGGAGUUGGGGCAAUUGCAAUGUUUAGAGAAAAAUAUGGAGAAUAGGUGGGGACAAUUACCAUUUUAUGUUAAAAAUGUGAUGAUUAUAAAACAAGGGAGAUUCUUCUGGCUGUUGUCUUUUUGCAAAUUUUUGCUAUUAAAGCUUAUAUGGAGCGACCAACAGUCCUCUUUUAUGAGUAGGUGAGAAAUAGAGAUUAGACUAUACACCAGUCCAUUCUAAUAAUUAAGUCUGAUAGUGAGAUUUUAACCAUGUAUGAAAGUGCAACUUGAAUUAUGAUAUUAUUAAUGAAUAAUUUUGUUUUG